UUUCUCGGACCCACUUCGCUCUUACCUUUUUUUUUCCCUCUGUGGAUAUUCUUAAUGAAGCUUUCUUUCUCUUGGUGGAAGAUGCCAAUGGAAGACAACUAACUAGGAACCAAAUCUCUGCGAGCAAGAAGAGGGUGAAGGCGACGGUGGACGUAGAGACCAAGGAGAUGGGAGCAGAUUCUUUGAUUGAAAUGGCUAUUUUUCCUGAAGAAGCUCAAAUUGCCUUUUGCUUGUAAAGGAAAACUGAAGCUGAAUGUGCAGAAACUUUUGGCAGAAACUGAAUUAUGUUACUUUCCUUUCCUAAGAGGAGAAGAUAAUUUAUAAACUUCAGAGUACAGAAAGGGAACAAUAAUAAGGUACACACGUUAAAGGGGGAAAGGAAUGAAAAGGACUUAGUGGAAAAAGUGAAGCUUAAUCCAACAUUGGGAGAGUGCUUCAGCUCCUAUCGCAGUCUGUUGCCUCCCUACCACUUUGAUUGCAAGUUCUUGAUGUGGUCAGCUUGGAAGCCUCCCUGAGAUUGAAGAUUUUGCUUUCCACAAGACUAGGAAGUCUACUUCAAGAAUACUCUUGAAUCUUGAUUUGGUUAUUUAUGUGGAAGUUGGUUUCACUUAUUUAUGUCUUAAGUAACUUAAUGUGCAGACUUGCUUUGCCUAUUUCUCAAGUUCCUCAUUUUGUAUUGUCUGUUCGUUGAAAGUAUGGAGGAUAUAAAUCUCUACUCCUCGGGAGUAGACCUCUGGACAGGUUGAAGAAAUAAACUCAUCUUCAUGAACUUGCCACAGGCUCCUAUGUCAGUGUAACUAGAUUUGGGGCAACUGUAAGAUCAGUUUCUUAAACAAGCCUUUCUCAUAUAUGGGUUGUGCUUGUUGAAGGGGAGCUUGAUGAGUAGGGUCAAGUUGCCAACUACAUCCUUAAGUAUUUGAGAAAAGCAUCAAUGUUCAUAGCCCUUUGUUCCA
Long non-coding RNA from Nymphaea colorata (pocket water lily), 953 nucleotides. RefSeq lists it as uncharacterized. The record is from RefSeq and is a predicted model, not a curated record. The transcript has 3 exons. NCBI's taxonomy places the organism in Eukaryota, Viridiplantae, Streptophyta, Magnoliopsida, Nymphaeales, Nymphaeaceae.